GAUGAACGCUGGCGGCGUGCCUAAUACAUGCAAGUCGAGCGAACAGACGAGGAGCUUGCUCCUCUGACGUUAGCGGCGGACGGGUGAGUAACACGUGGAUAACCUACCUAUAAGACUGGGAUAACUUCGGGAAACCGGAGCUAAUACCGGAUAAUAUAUUGAACCGCAUGGUUCAAUAGUGAAAGACGGUUUUGCUGUCACUUAUAGAUGGAUCCGCGCCGCAUUAGCUAGUUGGUAAGGUAACGGCUUACCAAGGCAACGAUUCGUAGCCGACCUGAGAGGGUGAUCGGCCACACUGGAACUGAGACACGGUCCAGACUCCUACGGGAGGCAGCAGUAGGGAAUCUUCCGCAAUGGGCGAAAGCUUGACGGAGCAACGCCGCGUGAGUGAUGAAGGUCUUCGGAUCGUAAAACUCUGUUAUUAGGGAAGAACAAAUGUGUAAGUAACUAUGAACGUCUUGACGGUACCUAAUCAGAAAGCCACGGCUAACUACGUG
This 497-nucleotide ribosomal RNA is filed under the name uncultured bacterium. Its description in RNAcentral is "partial 16S ribosomal RNA". It matches the Rfam family "Bacterial small subunit ribosomal RNA", at positions 28 to 507 of the family's 1533-position model. The record is from RNAcentral.